Molecule: non-coding RNA, 481 nt
Organism: Nomia melanderi (Alkali bee)
Lineage: Eukaryota; Metazoa; Arthropoda; Insecta; Hymenoptera; Halictidae
Source: RefSeq, a predicted model, not a curated record
GGAAUCGAAGUACUGAGUCUUCGUUGGCGGUGUCUCAUUUCAUUAACACGCUAACACGAAGAGUCCCGGAAUUCGUCUUCAUUCAUCUCAACUACUAAACAAAGGGAAAGACAAAGAGAAUCAAGAUGGUUUACACUAACAUCGCCGCCUCGCCGAUAAAGUCAGCCUAUUCGGAUGCCAGGAAGGAGAAGGGCCCGCAAGCGUCGUCCGUCUAUCGCCCGCAAACGCUGCAGCCAACCAAGAACGACAAGUACGGUGCUUGGGGUCCAGUCUACAAGGACAAGAAGAACUUCGUCGACAUGCACAUUUGUUAACAUCGAACAAUCAUCCUCUCUCGCCCACAGCUAAUGGCUCCAGUCGCUUUGAUUUGAAAAACUCCCCGGUGAUCCAGAAACGACUGAAAUAGGGUCGUGACGUAACCUGUAGUCACUUAAAUCAUUUUGUAAUGUGUUAAUAAAACUAUACACCGCCACGAUAAUUA